UGCCAGCAGCCGCGGUAAUACGGAGGGGGCAAGCGUUGCUCGGAAUUACUGGGCGUAAAGCGAGCGUAGGCGGUUUAUCAAGUUGGUGGUGAAAGCCCGGAGCUUAACUCCGGAACUGCCAUCAAAACUGAUUUACUAGAGAUUGGUAGAGGAAAAUGGAAUUCCUAGUGUAGAGGUGAAAUUCGUAGAUAUUGGGAAGAACACCAGUGGCGAAGGCGAUUUUCUGGGCCAAUUCUGACGCUGAGGUUCGAAAGCGUGGGUAGCAAACAGGAUUAGAUA
RNAcentral lists this ribosomal RNA (279 nucleotides) under uncultured bacterium. Its description in RNAcentral is "partial 16S ribosomal RNA". It matches the Rfam family "Bacterial small subunit ribosomal RNA", at positions 506 to 784 of the family's 1533-position model. The record is from RNAcentral.